CACGUAGGGGGCGAGCGUUGUUCGGAAUUACUGGGCGUAAAGGGCAUGUAGGCGGCUCUGUAAGCCUGGCGUGAAAGUCACCGGCUCAACCGGUGGAUUGCGUUGGGAACUGCAGGGCUUGAAUCAUGGAGAGGGAGCUGGAAUUCCAGGUGUAGGGGUGAAAUCUGUAGAGAUCUGGAAGAACACCAGUGGCGAAGGCGAGCUCCUGGCCAAUGAUUGACGCUGAGGUGCGAAAGUGUGGGGAUCAAACAGG
RNAcentral lists this ribosomal RNA (253 nucleotides) under uncultured bacterium. RNAcentral's name for it is "partial 16S ribosomal RNA". It matches the Rfam family "Bacterial small subunit ribosomal RNA", at positions 524 to 776 of the family's 1533-position model. The record is from RNAcentral.